Molecule: transfer RNA, 76 nt
Filed under: Paenibacillus polymyxa CR1
Lineage: Bacteria; Bacillati; Bacillota; Bacilli; Caryophanales; Paenibacillaceae
Description: tRNA-Gly (GCC) (tRNA-Gly-GCC-4-1)
Rfam family: tRNA
About the family: Transfer RNA (tRNA) molecules are approximately 80 nucleotides in length. Their secondary structure includes four short double-helical elements and three loops (D, anti-codon, and T loops).
Source: RNAcentral
GCGGACGUGGCUCAGCGGUAGAGCAUCGCCUUGCCAAGGCGAGGGUCGCGGGUUCGAUUUCCCGUCGUCCGCUCCA